This 364-nucleotide long non-coding RNA is filed under the name Medicago truncatula (barrel medic). RNAcentral's name for it is "lncRNA gene312". Lineage: Eukaryota; Viridiplantae; Streptophyta; Magnoliopsida; Fabales; Fabaceae. The record is from RNAcentral.
GAGGUAUGAAAGACACAAAUGCCGAUGACACCACACCACCUUCAUAAUAUCAGCACAACAAAAUCCCUUCAUCUUCAGAAUCAGAGCAACAUGUCCAUUCACCAUGGGAAUGGUAGUUAAACUAGAGGAAUACACUUCUAUCAAACCAUUCAGCUUGACGAGUUGCAAAACCUAGAACUAAUAUUGCCGAUCAGGACCCCAUUGAUCCAUCUCAGAUGAUUGGUGGUAGGCGUGCCAUGACUCAUAGCCACCGUAGGGAGAGGCAGAGCGGAGUACCUGAACUAUCAAGAUCAGGUACAACAUGAUGUGACGGAUGGUGGAUAUGACCAGGAUCAUAUACCACAGCAGCAGGAUGCAGGAGACG